UGCCAGACUCCUACGGGAGGCAGCAGUGGGGAAUAUUGCACAAUGGGCGAAAGCCUGAUGCAGCAACGCCGCGUGAAGGAAGAAGGGUUUCGGCUCGUAAACUUCUAUCAACAGGGACGAAAGAAAUGACGGUACCUGAAUAAGAAGCCCCGGCUAACUACGUGCCAGCAGCCGCGGUAAUACGUAGGGAGCGAGCGUUGUCCGGAAUUACUGGGUGUAAAGGGAGCGUAGGCGGGGAUGCAAGUUGGAUGUUUAAACUAUCGGCUCAACCGGUAAUUGCAACCAAAACUGCAACUCUUGAGUGAAGUAGAGGCAGGCGGAAUUCCUAGUGUAGCGGUGAAAUGCGUAGAUAUUAGGAGGAACACCAGUGGCGAAGGCGGCCUGCUGGGCUUUAACUGACGCUGAGGCUCGAAAGCGUGGGGAGCAAACAGGAUUAGAUACCCUAGUAA
RNAcentral lists this ribosomal RNA (449 nucleotides) under uncultured bacterium. RNAcentral describes it as "partial 16S ribosomal RNA". It matches the Rfam family "Bacterial small subunit ribosomal RNA", at positions 329 to 793 of the family's 1533-position model. The record is from RNAcentral.